This 255-nucleotide ribosomal RNA is filed under the name uncultured bacterium. RNAcentral's name for it is "partial 16S ribosomal RNA". It matches the Rfam family "Bacterial small subunit ribosomal RNA", at positions 524 to 776 of the family's 1533-position model. The record is from RNAcentral.
UACGAAGGGGGCUAGCGUUGUUCGGAAUUACUGGGCGUAAAGCGCGCGCAGGCGGUCUUCCAAGUCAGUGGUGAAAGCCCGGAGCUCAACUCCGGAACUGCCAUUGAAACUGUGAGACUGGAGUACGAGAGAGGUGAGUGGAAUUCCCCAGUGUAGAGGUGAAAAUUCGUAGAUAUUGGGAAGAACACCGGUGGCGAAGGCGGCUCACUGGCUCGUAACUGACGCUCAGGCGCGACAGCGUGGGGAUCAAACAGG